RNAcentral lists this ribosomal RNA (289 nucleotides) under Bacillus sp. (in: firmicutes). RNAcentral describes it as "Bacillus sp. (in: Bacteria) partial 16S ribosomal RNA". It matches the Rfam family "Bacterial small subunit ribosomal RNA", at positions 469 to 757 of the family's 1533-position model. Lineage: Bacteria; Bacillati; Bacillota; Bacilli; Caryophanales; Bacillaceae. The record is from RNAcentral.
UUGACGGUACCUAACCAGAAAGCCACGGCUAACUACGUGCCAGCAGCCGCGGUAAUACGUAGGUGGCAAGCGUUGUCCGGAAUUAUUGGGCGUAAAGGGCUCGCAGGCGGUUUCUUAAGUCUGAUGUGAAAGCCCCCGGCUCAACCGGGGAGGGUCAUUGGAAACUGGGGAACUUGAGUGCAGAAGAGGAGAGUGGAAUUCCACGUGUAGCGGUGAAAUGCGUAGAGAUGUGGAGGAACACCAGUGGCGAAGGCGACUCUCUGGUCUGUAACUGACGCUGAGGAGCGAA